Molecule: long non-coding RNA, 3573 nt
Filed under: Pelobates cultripes (western spadefoot toad)
Lineage: Eukaryota; Metazoa; Chordata; Amphibia; Anura; Pelobatidae
Source: RNAcentral
GGAGGCCGUCAGUAUCUCCAUGUCCUAUAUGUUCUCAACUUUAUCUAUCCAUUGCCUGAGGGUGGGUGGUGUUGGGUGUUUCCAAUGCAGGGGUAUCAACACCUUUGUGGCAUUCAACAGCGUGAUGGUAAGGGCGAUUUUGUAUUUCUGCGUGGGGGUGGGUGUGUAGUGUAAGAGCAUCGUCAUGGGUUGUAGGGGGAGGUCAUCUCCAGUGAUUUAUUUGAUCUUUGUGUUGAUCAGCUGCCAGUAAGUUGUUAUGCGGGGGCAUGACCACCAGAUGUGUAGGCUUGUUCCCAGGGCCGUGCUGCAUCUCCAUCAUUCGCCCGUAUUGGCUUCAUGGAUGUGUCUAAGGGUGUCUGGCGUUCUAUACCAGUGUGUCAACAACUUGUAGCUGGUCUCUUGAAACUUUGAACUAAUGGAGCAUUUGUGGGUUAGGAGGACUAUUUUGUCCCAUUCCUGAUCUGACAGUUGUGUCCGGGUCUCCCUUUCCCACUUGCUUAUGUAACCCAAGGGGCUGGUGUCCCUGGUCCUCUGUAGAAUCCCGUAUAGGAGUGACACCCAAUGUUCAAUGUGUUGCCUAUGGAUGUGGUCCUUACCAGUGAGUUUGGCAAGGUAUGUCUUCACUUGGUGAUAGCAAAAUGUAUCUAAUUGGGUGGGUUGUUGGUCCUCCAUCAGUUUGGCCAGUGGCUGGAGCGUCCCCCCCGGACACCAUUGGUAUAUGUACAACCAAUCCGUCUGUUGGAAGUUUAAUACUACAGGGGGGAGGCCUCCUGCCAAGUUCGGGUUGUGCGUGAUGGUGGUUAGCUGUUGAGCGUAUCGUAGGUUGCACCAGACCUUGAGUGUCGCGUCUAUCAUGGGGUUGUCCGUGUGUAGCUCCGCGAAUGUGGCUCCCCCAAGCCAAAGUCUCGAGGGAAUCUUGCCUUGUGUUUGUUGCAGUUCCAUGUUCACCCAGUGUUUUGGGCUUGGGCGUGCGUACCAGUCCACUAUUCUGUGCAGGUGUGUAGCUCGGUAGUAUGUGGUCACUGACGGUAGCCCCAACCCUCCGGCUAACUUUGGUCGCUCCAGGAUCGACCUGCGGAUGCGUGACGGUCUGUGGUUCCACACGAACCUGCGGAUGGCCGUCUCCACCGAUUUGAAGAAUGACUGCGGGAUCUUUAUUGGUAAUGUAGAUAAGAAGUACAACAGCCUCGGAAACACGUUCAUCUUGACCGCAUUAAUACGGCCAAACCAGGUGAUAUAGCGUGCCGUCCAGCAUUGGAGGUCUUGUUGUAUGGCCUUGAGGAGAGGGAGGAAGUUCAGUUGGUACACUUGUGUCAGGUCCCUCGGUAGCCAGGUGCCAAGGUAUCGCAGUUUCACCGCGCACCAUGAGAAGGUAAACUGGGCACUGAGCCUGUUAAUAUCCUCAGCGUUCCGCAUUAUCGGCAUAGCUUCUGAUUUAUCUAGGUUGAGUUUCAGAUGGGAUACUUGGUGGAACCCUUGGAGUGCCUGUAGCAGGUUGGACACCGAGAUCAUGGGUUGUUCCAGAAAGAAGAGCAUAUCGUCGGCGUAGGCCGCUACUUUACGUUCCUCCGUUCCCACCUGCACCCCCGUUAUUCCCCCGUCUCGUCUGACCGCCUCCAGGAAUGGCUCCAGGGUGAGGGCAAACACGAGAGGGGACAGCCCUGGCGGGUCCCAUUGCAUAUAGGGAAAGGUUUUAUUAGGACUCCGUUUACGCGUAUCCGGGCUGUCGGCGUGGUGUACAAGGCCGAGAUCCAUGAGCGCAUGUGUGCGCCAAAGCCCAUGUGCAUUCAGGUAUACCCAGUCCACUAGGUCGAACGCCUUUUCGGCGUCCGUCGAGAGGAAGACUGCGUCUCGUCCCCUGGACCUCGCACUGUGGAUAACGUUCAGCGCCCGUAUGGUAUCGUCCCUGGCUUCCCUGCCUGGAAUAAAGCCAACCUAAUCAUGAUGAAUCAGGUCCGUUAGAAUACAGGAUAUUCUCAGUGAAAGGGCCUUUGUGAACAGUUUUAGAUCGGCAUUCAGCAGCAAGAUUGGCCUGUAGCUCGCACAGUUGGAUGGAUCUUUCCCAUCUCAGGGGGACUAUGUGGGGAAUCUUCCUCCCUCCCGUAUAGCAUUUAGGCUCGCCAGAAGUCUUGGCAGGAGCACAUCCCGGUAUGUCCGUAGAUAUGUCAGAGGAAGGCCAUCUGGGCCUGGUGCUCGAUGUGGUUUUGAUUUCUUCAGUGCCGCGGCUAGCUCCUCCAGUGUCAGAGGGGCUGUCGAGUUCUUCCACGAGUUCUGGUGUAACUUUGCGGUUGACAUGCUGUGCCAGGUAGUCUGUGACUUGUCGGCGAUGGGUUUGGGCCGCGCCCCCCUGUUGGGACCGAGACUGGUUGUACAGGUCCGUGUAAUAAGCCCUGAAUGCCUCCAUAAUGCCCUCCGGCAUUCCGGUGGUUCGUCCGUCUCGUGUGCUUAUCUUGUGGAUGUGUUGGGAUCUUUGUUUCUCCUGGAGCAUUUUCGCCAGGAGUCUUCCAUUGGAGUGCUCGUAGAAGAACCUGGCAGAUUUCCGUAGGGUGUGAAGCAGGCCCUGGGAUUAGUGGUCUGCGAGUGCCCUACGUGCCUCUGUAAGUUGUAAGUAGACAUUGUCAUCUAAUGUCUGUUAUGUGAGUUUUCUAUCUCAGCUAUCUGUUUUGUUAGGUCUGAGAUUAGGCAUGCCCUGUUCUUCCUACGCUGUGUGCCAAUGGAUAUGUAGUGACCCCGAAUAACACAUUUAUGGGCUUCCCAUAACGUCAGUGGGGACAUGUCGGGAGUGUCAUUCGCUUCAAAGUAGUGUGUGAUAGUCUAUAGGGCUGAUUCGCUGGCCUCCAGGCCGUCCAGUAAGGUCUCAUUGAGUUUCCACUGGCGCUCCGUGGGCUUAAAUAAUGGGGAUUUCAUCUGCAUCAUGACGGUGCGGGGUCGGAUUGGUGUAUACUACCUAUUUUUGCGUCUUGAAGGAGGGACAAACUUUCCUGAGGCAUGAAUAUAUAAUCUAUUCGGCUGUAUUGUUUGUGUACUGACGAGUAGUAGGAGAAAUCCCUGUCAUCUGGGUGGACCACCCUCUACUAACCCCAUCUUGGUCAGGGAUCGUCGUAUCGAGCGCAGGCAAUGCGCUGGGAUCGUGCUUGUGCCUUGCGAGGAGUCUAUGCGUGAGUCUAUAGGGACGUUUAGGUCUCCUGCCAUCAUGAAGAGGCCCUCUCUGAACCUGUCAAGCUUGGCCGGUGUCCUGGCAAGAAAGGUGUGCUGUCUACGGUUGGGGCUAUAUAGGCAUGCGAAAGUGUAGGUGAGGUCCGCAAUGGAACCCUUGAGGAAGAUAUACCUUCGCCUGAGUCUAUAAGUGACUAUGUGUCGGAACGGCACCGAGUGUGCGAAUAGUAUCGCCACACCCGCUUUCCUAGUGUCUGGGUGGUUAGCAUAGUAUCCCUGCGGGAAGCGUCUAUUCUCAAAUGUGUCAUUGCGUCUUGGCCUCUAAAAUGCGUCUCCUGCAGGAACGCUACGGGCUGUCAGAAUAUUUAUAUCGGCAGACAUUUUGUGCUAAGAAAGAAAUUAAAAGUGUAUAUUGCC